Molecule: ribosomal RNA, 282 nt
Filed under: Triticum aestivum (bread wheat)
Lineage: Eukaryota; Viridiplantae; Streptophyta; Magnoliopsida; Poales; Poaceae
Description: partial small subunit ribosomal RNA
Source: RNAcentral
AUGAAUGAGAAAUGGUUCAAUCUGACACAAGAGGAGAACGGCUACUUGCUGCUUUCCGAAGAACCUGAUCCCUUACGCACAUUGCAUCAUAAGGAUAACAUCGUGAAGGUGACGUUUCUUGCGGCCGUGGCUAAACCAAGAUAUGGCAAUGUUGGUGUCGUCACGUUUGAUGGAAAGAUAGGCAUUUGGGCCUUUGUCACAGAGUCUCCGGCUCAAAGGAGUGAAAAUAGAGAAAGAGGGACACUUGAACUCAAAUCAUUGAAAGUUACAAGAGAUGUAAUG